Molecule: long non-coding RNA, 287 nt
Filed under: Setaria viridis
Lineage: Eukaryota; Viridiplantae; Streptophyta; Magnoliopsida; Poales; Poaceae
Description: long non-coding RNA (SVIR_LNC000651)
Source: RNAcentral
CCAAAAGGUGUAAACCCUAGGGCGCCCCCACCCCUCUAUUUAUAGAGGUUCCCGACGGGCCUCUGGAUCCGAGGCCCAUUAGUACUUCUAAACCUAAUCCAACUCGGAUCAGAUCCGAAUUGGGCUUCCAGCCCCUUAAGUGUGUGACCCUAUGGGUUCGGAUACGUAUAGACAUGGCCCGAGUACUCCUACUCGGCCCAAUAGUCGGUAGCGGCCUCUAGCAAGACGUGGCAACUCCUAUACGCACACGAAGAUCAUAUCAGACGAACCAUCACAACAUAAUAUAC